UACGAAGGGGGCUAGCGUUGUUCGGAAUUACUGGGCGUAAAGCGCACGUAGGCGGAUCGUUCAGUCGGGGGUGAAAUCCCAGAGCUCAACUCUGGAACUGCCUUUGAUACUGUCGAUCUAGAGUAUGGAAGAGGUGAGUGGAAUUCCGAGUGUAGAGGUGAAAUUCGUAGAUAUUCGGAGGAACACCAGUGGCGAAGGCGGCUCGCUGGGCCAUUACUGACGCUGAGGUGCGAAAGCGUGGGGAGCAAACAGG
RNAcentral lists this ribosomal RNA (253 nucleotides) under uncultured bacterium. Its description in RNAcentral is "partial 16S ribosomal RNA". It matches the Rfam family "Bacterial small subunit ribosomal RNA", at positions 524 to 776 of the family's 1533-position model. The record is from RNAcentral.